Molecule: long non-coding RNA, 748 nt
Organism: Numida meleagris (helmeted guineafowl)
Lineage: Eukaryota; Metazoa; Chordata; Aves; Galliformes; Numididae
Exons: 2
Source: RefSeq, a predicted model, not a curated record
UUGCUCGACCUCCCCCAGGAGCGCCGGGCGCUGGAGCGGAAGGCGGCGGAGCUGGAGGAGGAGCUGAAGGCACUGCAGGACCUGAAGGCCGACAACCAGCGCCUGAAGGACGAGAACGCGGCGCUCAUCCGCGUCAUCAGCAAACUGUCCAAGUGACCCCCCCCCGCCGCCAAAGCCCUUCCCACCGCCACCCCAGCAACACUAGAGGAGACCCCCCCGGACCCCCCCAUUGUGCGCCAUGAGACCCCCUCCUCCCCCCCUAAUCGUCCCCCCAUGGGGCGUCCACAGCUGCCAAACCUCCCGCCCCCCUCCAAUGCCAAAAUAUGGGACCCCCACCCCACGCACCCCCACAAACAAUGCCCUAUGGGACCUGCCAGGGGGUGGGGCUAGUGCGGAGGGGGCGUGGCUAAUGAGGAGGGGGCGGUGCCCAUCACGGGGGGUGCCAAAGGGGCGUGGUCACGGGGCUUGGGCGUGGCCGGGAUAAGUUGGGGUGGGGCAUUGUGUAACCACGCCCCCUGCCAUCUUUAAUGAAUGCCAAAAGUGGGCGGGGCUACUGCACGCCAGCCCCGCCCCAGGGCUCGAGCAUGCCAAUCAUCGCGCUGCUGUCACUCAGGCCCCGCCCCCUCCCUCCCGCUCAGCCAAUGGGAGGGUGGCUGGGCCCCACUCCUCCUCCAAUGAGUAUUUUUGCAAAAAAAAAAAAAAAAGUGGAAGAAAAAGGAAAAAAAUAAUUAAAAGUGAAAAGCGACAA